This is a long non-coding RNA of Daphnia pulex (common water flea), 3041 nucleotides long. RefSeq lists it as uncharacterized. NCBI's taxonomy places the organism in Eukaryota, Metazoa, Arthropoda, Branchiopoda, Diplostraca, Daphniidae. The transcript is spliced from 7 exons. The record is from RefSeq and is a predicted model, not a curated record.
UAUUUUUAGCUCCACCUAUCUAGUGUAACUUGCGUGAACAAGCGGCCUAGGAAGAGAUAACUGUUCUAGCCGUAGACACCAAUCUUUGUUAAGAGAUCGGAUGCCCAGUCUCUUCGCCUACAUUGAUAAGGUAUCUUGUCGCAUGUGACUACAGACAACCUUACUCACCAGACCGACCACUGCAGACAUCCCUUGGGUAUGGAAACGAUUAUACUCACCAGGGGAAUCGAACUCACGGUCUCAAAGUGCUUCGUUUACUAUGUGACGCGUUGUCCGACUCACCUACCCGACCCGCUCUUGUUUUACAUUAUUAAGAGACGUAUUUUUACGUCUACUUUAUUUUAUACCUUGAUGUGGCAUGUUCAUCUGACUAUCAACUCCCAACGACUCUUGUAUGGUCAUUUUAGCAUUUAAUCCCAAAAUAAAUUCUCAAGAAAUUACGAAAUUACAAGAAAAAAAAAUUGAGUAAGGACUGGGGCAAGGACAUUAACAAAUUUUGGCAACGUUGGUGCAACAAUUAAUCGUCGUCUGCCGUUUCAAUUUGGAGUGUGGUGUUUGGACACCCGACGCCCGAGGUGGAGAGAACCUACAAGAAAACCAAACAUCCAAGAUUCCAAGUCUUCCUUAAAAAUUACUGGUUCAACAGCCAGGUGAAAUCUCUUCUUCGUUGGUGUCCAACACAACACAUUUCUAACAAGGCUCAACUGUGUGCACAACAUCAAUAUGGAUUGAUCAUGUGUUUGAAACUUAGACAAGGUUGCAGAGGAAUAUUUUCAUAAAAGCCGACUGUCCUUCAAACGGUUCGAAAUGGAAGAUUUAUUCAUCCACCGAAGAAACGAGUCAAAUGACUCAAAUGUCAAUUGGUAAAAAACCCAUUCCCAGCUCAGCUCAGCAACGUCAACCUGUGGAAGGAAAGGCCAGUUUGAAUGUCCUUCACGCUCGAAGGUCACGGAGAUUAUUACGUAAAACGUGUCGUGUGGUGUAGAGGUUGGGUGAGAACGGGAAGUGGUACAUAUUCAUUUGGUAUUCAUUUUGAUAUUGGUUUUUGUAGACCCAUCCCCAGCAACGUCAACCUGCAUGAUGAAAGAUUUGCAUUUCCUUCACUUUCGAAGGUCACGUAGAUCAUUAAGUAAAACGUGUCAUGUGGUGUAGAGGUUGGGUGAGAACGGGACGUGUUUCAUAAUUAUCAAGCAGGUACAAUAGCCGCAAGGCUUAAGAAGUGAAUAAGGAUGAGAAAAAGUGGCGACAGAGAUCAGUCGAGUGUGCAUAUCUCCGACCCGGCAACAACUGUGGUGUACUAUUUGUCACCAACAGCAUUCUUCCUAUUCGUAAUUGUAGUGAACUAUGGCGUCGUUCUGCUGUUGGUAAUCGUUGAUGGAUAGGUCAACCACUAGGGUACCGAUGUCUUCUGCGGAUGGCGAAUACCAGACCGCCACGUCGCCAUCUUAGUACAAGACAACAUCAAACGCAACGACCAGUUACUACACCGACGCCCCAAGUACUACACUGAGAAGGCUGAAUGUUACACAGCCACAUAUGCUGCCACAGUUUACUACACCGAUGGACCCAAGUAUUACUCUACUCCAACUCUCCAAGCUACUACUAGUCAGACGCUUCUGACUACACCAAGACCCCGAGUAUUACACCAGAACCCACUCUUCUCCACCUUACUACACACGGCAACAACUAUAGUACUCUAUUCGUCACCAACUGCAGUCUUGAUCGUGCAACCAAUUUGCAAUCAUGCUUAGUUUUGGCGUCGUGCUGCUACGCAUGCUGUUGGAUGUUGUAUCGUUGAUAGUGGGUCGACCACUGGUGUACCGAACUCCACCGAGGUUGGGUAGAGAAUUCCACGUGUUGCAUCAUUAUCAAGUGGAUGCAAUAGCCGUAAAGCUUAAGAGGUGAAUUAGGACGAGAAAAAGUCGUAUAAAAGGAGAGGGAAAAGGCGAUGGAGAUCAGCCGAGUGAGCAUCUCCGACCCGGCAACAACUGCAGCACAAUAUUUGUCAUCAACUGCAUUCUUCCUAUUCUCAAUCAUCGUUAACUAUGGCGUCGUUCUGCCGUUGGUUAUCGUUUAUUGCUGGGUUGACCACUGUUGUACCGGUGUGUCAUGGGAUGGCGGAUACCAAACCGUAACGUCGCCGCCCAACUACACAACGUCAUACGUAACAACCAGUUACUACACCGAGGCCCACAAGAACUCCGAUCCCAGCUACUAUACCGAGGCCCACAAGUACUACACCAUCAAGGCAUCGGAGUAUUUCACCACAACCUACGCUGCCACAGCUUACUACACCGAGGCUCCCAAGUAUUACUCUGCUCCAGCUACAUACCCACAACUGAGGCAGUAUUUAUUACUACACAGCGGCUGUUUCAUCGUACUACGGUGAUCCGAAUUAUUACUCCGAGGUUCGCAGUUUACUACACCAAAAUCUACGCUGCCCCCAGCUACUACACUGAAGCUCCUGUUUACUACAAUACUAAGGCACCCGAGUAUUAUACCAUUACUUACCGAAGCUCCGAAGUAUUACUCUGCCCCGAGUUACUGACAACACUAAGGCACCUGAAUAUUAUAUCACAACCUAUGCCUCUCCAGCUUACUACAAGAAGAUUUAGUACCCUAUCCGAAAUUUAUAUAUGUAAAUCAAAUUUGAUUUUAAUGAGGAUAAUGUUUUUUAUGCGAGUAAUUAUCUUGUAAAUUCUUAACACCUCCAAGCCUUUUAACAUUGCAACUUAUUUGAUUUUUUUUUUAGAAGAGCUACUGUUGCUUCAGUCGCUUCGAACGAGCUUUUGACGGUGCUUGGACGAAUUUCAUUUUCUGGGCAAGUUACGAAAGAAACAUACUGUUAGGUGUUUGUUUUAAACUUACUCUUAAAUUUUUAAUCAACUGCGUAGCAAAUGGACUUUAAGGCAAAUAUUGUAUUCGGUUUUAGUCAUUGAUCUACAGACUCUUAAAAUAAAUUACCAAGUCCCUUUGAAACUAAUGUAUAAAAUUUAAAACUUCAAUCUUCUGUUACAAACUAUUAAAUACACAAUAGACAA